GACGAACGCUGGCGGCGUGCUUAACACAUGCAAGUCGAACGGAAAGGCCCUGCUUUUGUGGGGUGCUCGAGUGGCGAACGGGUGAGUAACACGUGAGUAACCUGCCCUUGACUUUGGGAUAACUUCAGGAAACUGGGGCUAAUACCGGAUAGGAGCUCCUGCUGCAUGGUGGGGGUUGGAAAGUUUCGGCGGUUGGGGAUGGACUCGCGGCUUAUCAGCUUGUUGGUGGGGUAGUGGCUUACCAAGGCUUUGACGGGUAGCCGGCCUGAGAGGGUGACCGGCCACAUUGGGACUGAGAUACGGCCCAGACUCCUACGGGAGGCAGCAGGGGGGAAUAUUGCACAAUGGGCGGAAGCCUGAUGCAGCAACGCCGCGUGCGGGAUGACGGCCUUCGGGUUGUAAACCGCUUUCGCCUGGGACGAAGCGUGAGUGACGGUAAGGGGUAAAGAAGCACCGGCUAACUACG
This 466-nucleotide ribosomal RNA is filed under the name uncultured bacterium. RNAcentral's name for it is "partial 16S ribosomal RNA". It matches the Rfam family "Bacterial small subunit ribosomal RNA", at positions 28 to 505 of the family's 1533-position model. The record is from RNAcentral.